CGACCCCUAUUUCUAUCGGCCGGCGUCGGUGUCCGUGUGCUCGGGGCAGACCUCUAUCCUGAGGUCAUCCAACCAGGCUGUGUGCCCGGUCAUAGCGGUACGCCCGCAGCCCAGAGCACCGUGUUCGGAUGGGUCGUCUCCGGCUCCUGUGGGAUCUAGGCGCUCCAGGACGUUGCCGUCCCCCAUCCUUUAUAUGUCCGGGGUGGCAAUUGCAACAUGUUGCAAGGGGGGCGGUAUGCUCACGCCACCGGGUGAACAGCAGUGAGCGGCGAAGAGCAGUGAGGAGUGAGGAGGGUUUUCUGAUCCCCGGCAUCUACGGUCACACCAGGAGGGGUGACUGGGUUUUUUCCAAUGGGCAUCGCCAUUAUUACGAAUCGAGAUUUUCACCCGAACACCCGUUCAUCUCCUAUAUAUUUUUCUCGAAUUGUCAAUCUUUUUUAAACCGAACCAUUUCGUGUGUGUGUCGGUAUACCUAGUGAAUUCAAUAAAACAUCAUUAAUUAAAACGAAGGUUUUCGCGCGUUUUAAUCACUCACGUACGAGACCCUGAAGAUAUUGGCACCCGCCAACCAUUUCAGGCUUAGUCGGGUCCUUCCGCCCCUCCACAAACAAUAAUAGUGUGCAUUUUUUCCAUAUAAGGACAUUGUAGUCUAUUAACAUAAACCAAAUUUAUCGUAAAAUAUGACUUAUAGUUUAUUUAAAUUAUUUUGCUUGCAUUUUAACAUAGAAUAAAUGUCAUUAAUUUGAUAAAGUGUUGAUAGAUUUAUAUGAAUACAGUGCGUUAAUUUUUCGGAAUUAUAUUAUAGCAUGAUUAUCAUUGAUUUUCUGUGUUUUUUCUAUGCACUUGUAUGAUUAACAAUGCGAAAGAUUCAGGAUACCUUCGGGACCCGUCUUGAAACACGGACCAAGGAGUCUAACAUAUGUGCAAGUUAUUGGGAUAUAAACCUAAUAGCAUAAUUAACUUGACUAACACAGCAUAAAUGCUGUGACCCGAAAGAUGGUGAACUAUACUUGAUCAGAUUGAAGUCAGGGGAAACCCUGAUGGAAGACCGAAACAGUUCUGACGUGCAAAUCGAUUGUCAGAAUUGAGCAUAGGGGCGAAAGACCAAUCGAACCAUCUAGUAGCCAACUUCCUUCCGAAGUUUCCCUCAGGAUAGCUGUUGCAUUUAAAUGUUAUAUAAAAUAAUCUUAUCUGGUAAAGCGAAUGAUUAGAGGCCUUAGGGUCGAAACGAUCUUAACCUAUUCUCAAACUUUAAAUGAGUAAGAACCUUAACUUUCUUGAUAUGAAGUUUAAGGUUAUGAUAUAUUGUGCCCAGUGGGCCACUUUUGGUAAGCAGAACUGGCGCUGUGGGAUGAACCAAACGUAAUGUUACGGUGCCCAAAUUAACAACUCAUACAGAAACCAUAUAAGGCGUUGUUUGCUUAAAACAGCAGGACGGUGAUCAUGGAAGUCGAAAUCCGCUAAGGAGUGUGUAACAACUCACCUGCCGAAGCAACUAGCCCUUAAAAUGGAUGGCGCUUAAGUUGUAUACCUAUAAAUUACCGCUAAAGUAGAUGAUUUAUAUUAUUUAUAAUAUAAAUUUUGAAACUUUAGUGAGUAGGAAGGUACAAUGGUGUGCUUAGAAGUGUUUGGGUAAGCCUGCAUGGAGCCGCCAUUGGUACAGAUCUUGGUGGUAGUAGCAAAUAAUCGAAUGAGACCUUGGAGGACUGAAGUGGAGAAGGGUUUCGUGUGAACAGUGGUUGAUCACGAGUUAGUCGGUCCUAAGUUCAAGGCGAAAGCCGAAAAUUUUCAAGUUUCAAAAAUGUCAAAGGAAAUAAUAAAUAAUAAAACACUUGAAUAAUUUUGAACGAAAGGG
Ribosomal RNA from Drosophila willistoni, 1855 nucleotides. It matches the Rfam family "Eukaryotic large subunit ribosomal RNA", at positions 436 to 1602 of the family's 3401-position model. NCBI's taxonomy places the organism in Eukaryota, Metazoa, Arthropoda, Insecta, Diptera, Drosophilidae. The record is from Rfam.